Molecule: long non-coding RNA, 422 nt
Filed under: Mustela putorius furo (domestic ferret)
Lineage: Eukaryota; Metazoa; Chordata; Mammalia; Carnivora; Mustelidae
Description: lncRNA (ENSMPUG00000027778.1)
Source: RNAcentral
CAAUUGUAGGAAUGAGGAAGUCCUCAGGCCUUAAUUUUUUUUUUAAGAUUUUAAUUAUUUAUUAAAUUAUUGAUUUUUAUUAGUUGGCCAAAGCAUUCUACCUGUUUAUUCUUAACAUUCUACCUGUUUAUUCUUCUAGGCUAGGGCUGGAGAUCCAGUUUUCAUUUGACUCUCUGCCUGCACAAACAGUGCUACAGAGGCAUUCUCCUGCAUAUUCUCCUGUGGACCAUGUGAAAAUUUGCCUUGGAGGAAAGAGUGCCGGCAGCUUGCUUGACGUCACCAUGCUGAAGAGCCUGGAUGUAAUUCUCUGGUAAGCCUGUGUGAGCCCCGCAUCGCAUCGGGCUCUCUGCUCAGCCGGGAGCCUGCUUCCCUUCCUCUCUCUCUGUCUACCUCUCUGCCUGCUUGUGAUCACUCUCUGCCAA